GGGGUUGAUUUUGGGAGCACUUUUCUUGCAGCCUAGCUUCCUGGUAAGGGUUGAGGAAACAGAUGGUCUAAAGGAUGCAUUAGGCAAUGAGAUACUGUAGCUUAAGGAUCAACUUGGUUCAAGACAGAAGGCUAUUUCUUUCUUUGAGCGUGACAAUUCAAGCAACUAUCCGAUACCCGCCUACAUUGAGAUACCCACGGAUGGAACUGAGGAGUGGGAAAUUGACGUGAAACAGCUCCAAAUUGAAAAGAAAGUGGCAUCUUGGUUCGUAUGAGGGGAUCUGCACAGAGGCACUUAUUGCAGUCAGGAUGUUGCUAUCAAAUUUCUCAAACCUGAGCGUGUAAACGUGGAGAUGCUUAGAGAAUUUUCUCAAGAAGUUUAUAUUAUGAGGUUAAUGCAAUUAAUUUGAAUCAUGAUGUGGAAUGCAUAGUAAGAUUGUCAAGGUUGCUGAUUUUGGAGUUGUCAGAGUACAGAUUGAAUCAGGGGUGAUGACAGCUGAAACAGGGACAUAUCGAUGGAUGGCUCCGGAGGUGAUUGAACACAAACCUUACAGUCACAAAGCAGACGUGUUCAGUUAUGGGAUAGUGAUAUGGGAACUUUUGACUGGUCAUAUCCCAUAUGCUUACUUGACUCCACUAUAAGCGGCUGUUGGCGUUGUUCAGAAGGGGCUUAGACCAAAGAUUCCAAAGAAGAUACAUCCAAAAGUGAAGGGACUUCUACAGAGAUGCUGGAACCAAGACCCAAAAGACAGACCAGAGUUUGAGGAAAUCAUAGAAAUGCUUCAACAUAUAAUGAUUGAGGUAAACGUCGUACCGUGAUGAUGAUCCGAGUAAAAAAAA
Brassica oleracea var. oleracea is the source of this 839-nucleotide long non-coding RNA. RefSeq lists it as uncharacterized. The record is from RefSeq and is a predicted model, not a curated record. Lineage: Eukaryota; Viridiplantae; Streptophyta; Magnoliopsida; Brassicales; Brassicaceae. The transcript has 8 exons.